This 465-nucleotide ribosomal RNA is filed under the name uncultured bacterium. Its description in RNAcentral is "bacterial SSU rRNA". It matches the Rfam family "Bacterial small subunit ribosomal RNA", at positions 329 to 792 of the family's 1533-position model. The record is from RNAcentral.
UUCCAGACUCCUACGGGAGGCAGCAGUGAGGAAUAUUGGUCAAUGGCCGCAGGGCUGAACCAGCCAAGUCGCGUGAGGGAUGACGGUCCUAUGGAUUGUAAACCUCUUUUGUCAGGGAGCAAAGGGCGCCACGUGUGGCGUUUUGCGAGUACCUGAAGAAAAAGCAUCGGCUAACUCCGUGCCAGCAGCCGCGGUAAUACGGAGGAUGCGAGCGUUAUCCGGAUUUAUUGGGUUUAAAGGGUGCGUAGGCGGGAUGCCAAGUCAGCGGUCAAAUACGGGGGCUCAACCUGCGUCCGCCGUUGAAACUGGCGUUCUUGAGUGGGCGAGAAGUACGCGGAAUGCGUGGUGUAGCGGUGAAAUGCAUAGAUAUCACGCAGAACCCCGAUUGCGAAGGCAGCGUACCGGCGCCCGACUGACGCUGAAGCACGAAAGUGUGGGUAUCGAACAGGAUUAGAUACCCCGGUA